UACGUAGGGUGCGAGCGUUAAUCGGAAUUACUGGGCGUAAAGUGUGCGCAGGCGGCCGAGCAAGUCGAGUGUGAAAGCCCCGGGCUUAACUUGGGAAUUGCGCUCGAAACUACUUGGCUGGAGUGUGGCAGAGGAAGGUGGAAUUCCAGGUGUAGCGGUGAAAUGCGUGGAGAUCUGGAGGAACACCGAUGGCGAAGGCAGCCUUCUGGGCCAACACUGACGCUCAUGCACGAAAGCGUGGGGAGCAAACAGG
Molecule: ribosomal RNA, 253 nt
Filed under: uncultured bacterium
Lineage: Bacteria
Description: partial 16S ribosomal RNA
Rfam family: Bacterial small subunit ribosomal RNA
Source: RNAcentral